ACUGGGCGUAAGCGCGCGCUAGGCUGGUCUUGAUCACGAUCGCAAUGUUGAAAAUCCCCUGCGGGCUUCAACCUGCUGGAACGUGGCCUUGUGGAUACUGCCUCUGGCCUUAGACUGCGUGAAGAGGGGUGGUAGAAUUUCCCGGUGUAGCAGUGAAAUGCGUAGAUAUUCGGAGGAACACCGAUGGCGAAGGCAGCCCCCUGGGUCGUUACUGACGCUCAUGCACGAAAGCGUGGGGAGCAAACCGGAUUAGAUACCCUGGUAGUCCACGCCCUAAACGAUGUGCACUAGGUGUUGGGGUUUUUUGGCCUCGGAACGCGACGUCACUCGCGCUGUUCCUCCCCUGGACGGUCACGACGCUCGAUUUC
This 368-nucleotide ribosomal RNA is filed under the name uncultured bacterium. RNAcentral describes it as "bacterial SSU rRNA". It matches the Rfam family "Bacterial small subunit ribosomal RNA", at positions 553 to 873 of the family's 1533-position model. The record is from RNAcentral.